RNAcentral lists this ribosomal RNA (429 nucleotides) under Bacillota bacterium. RNAcentral describes it as "Firmicutes bacterium partial 16S ribosomal RNA". It matches the Rfam family "Bacterial small subunit ribosomal RNA", at positions 355 to 776 of the family's 1533-position model. Lineage: Bacteria; Bacillati; Bacillota. The record is from RNAcentral.
UAGGGAAUCUUCGGCAAUGGACGGAAGUCUGACCGAGCAACGCCGCGUGAGUGAAGAAGGUUUUCGGAUCGUAAAGCUCUGUUGUUAGAGAAGAACGUUGGUAGGAGUGGAAAAUCUACCAAGUGACGGUAACUAAUCAGAAAGGGACGGCUAACUACGUGCCACCAGCCGCGGUAAUACGUAGGUCCCGAGCGUUGUCCGGAUUUAUUGGGCGUAAGGCGAGCGCAGGCGGUUCUUUAAGUCUGAAGUUAAAGGCAGUGGCUUAAUCAAUGUACGCUUUAGAAACUGAAGGACUUGAGUGCAGAAGGGGUGAGUGGAAUUCCAUGUGUAGCGGUGAAAUGCGUAGAUAUAUGGAGGAACACCGGUGGCGAAAGCGGCUCUCUGGUCUGUAACUGACGCUGAGGCUCGAAAGCGUGGGGAGCAAACAGG